RNAcentral lists this ribosomal RNA (253 nucleotides) under uncultured bacterium. RNAcentral describes it as "partial 16S ribosomal RNA". It matches the Rfam family "Bacterial small subunit ribosomal RNA", at positions 524 to 776 of the family's 1533-position model. The record is from RNAcentral.
UACAGAGGUGGCAAGCGUUGUUCGGAAUUACUGGGCGUAAAGCGCGUGUAGGCGGCUCUUCAAGUCAGGCGUGAAAGCCCCGGGCUCAACUCGGGAACUGCGCUUGAUACUGUCGGGCUAGAGUGCGGAAGAGGCGAGUGGAAUUCCUGGUGUAGCGGUGAAAUGCGCAGAUAUCAGGAGGAACACCAAUUGCGAAGGCAGCUCGCUGGGACGUUACUGACGCUGAGACGCGAAAGCGUGGGGAGCAAACAGG